This 577-nucleotide ribosomal RNA is filed under the name uncultured bacterium. Its description in RNAcentral is "bacterial SSU rRNA". It matches the Rfam family "Bacterial small subunit ribosomal RNA", at positions 214 to 783 of the family's 1533-position model. The record is from RNAcentral.
CGCGCUGAUAGAUGAGCCCAUGCCGGAUUAGCUAGUUGGUGAGGUAACGGCUCACCAAGGCGACGAUCCGUAGCUGGUCUGAGAGGACGGCCAGCCACACUGGGACUGAGACACAGCCCAGACUCCUACGGGAGGCAGCAGUGGGGAAUAUUGGACAAUGGGGGAAACCCUGAUCCAGCGACGCCGCGUGCGUGAAGAAGGCCUGCGGGUUGUAAAGCACUUUCGGUGGGAACGAAAUAUGCCGGGCUAAUACCCCGGUAGGCUGACGUUACUCAAUGAAGAAGCACCGGCUAACUCUGUGCCAGCAGCCGCGGUAAUACAGAGGGUGCGAGCGUUAAUCGGAAUUACUGGGCGUAAAGCGCACGUAGGUGGCGACGUAAGUCGGGUGUGAAAGCCCCGGGCUCAACCUGGGAACCGCAUUCGAGACUGUGUUGCUGGAGUACGGAAGAGGAGGGCGGAAUUCCCGGUGUAGCGGUGAAAUGCGUAGAUAUCGGGAGGAACAUCAGUGGCGAAGGCGGCCCUCUGGUCCAGUACUGACACUCAAGUGCGAAAGCGUGGGGAGCAAACAGGAUUAGAU